AAGUCGUAACAAGGUUUCCGUAGGUGAACCUGCGGAAGGAUCAUCAGUGUAUCUGGUUAUCUCACCCUUUGUGCCGUGUCCUUGCGGUGGGUUCGCCGCAUGUUUUUUUUAUUAUUAUUGCAUUUGCAACGCCUGAGCCUGAUCUGUCGAUUUUAAGAACACACACACAACUUUUAACAACGGAUCUCUUGGUUCUC
This 197-nucleotide unclassified non-coding RNA is filed under the name fungal sp. RNAcentral's name for it is "partial internal transcribed spacer region". The stretch from base 1 to 46 matches the Rfam family "Eukaryotic small subunit ribosomal RNA", at positions 1786 to 1831 of the family's 1831-position model. The record is from RNAcentral. Lineage: Eukaryota; Fungi.